This 74-nucleotide transfer RNA is filed under the name Archiblatta hoeveni. RNAcentral's name for it is "tRNA-Leu". The record is from RNAcentral. Lineage: Eukaryota; Metazoa; Arthropoda; Insecta; Blattodea; Blattidae.
ACUAUUUUGGCAGAUUAGUGCAAUGGACUUAGAAUCUUUAUAAAUAGAUAUUUAUUAUUCUAUAAGUAGUAUUU